AGUCGUAACAAGGUCUCCGUUGGUGAACCAGCGGAGGGAUCAUUACCGAGUUAUUACUCCAAACCCUUUGUGAACCUUACCUAUGUUCUGUUGCCUCGGCGGGGAGGAAGACCCCUUAAAAAGGGCCCAGCCCCCGCCGGCAGCACCAAACUCUUGCAUUUAUAGCGGAUUACAUUUCUGAAUACAAUACAAAACAAAUCAAAACUUUCAACAACGGAUCUCUUGGUUCUGGCAUCGAUGAAGAACGCAGCGAAAUGCGAUAAGUAAUGUGAAUUGCAGAAUUCAGUGAAUCAUCGAAUCUUUGAACGCACAUUGCGCCCGGCAGUAAUCUGCCGGGCAUGCCUGUCCGAGCGUCAUUUCAACCCUCGAGCCUAGGUUUUUACAAGCCCAAGGAUCGGUGUUGGGGCGCUACGGUUGUCAUCUGACCGCCGUAGGCUCUGAAAUACAGUGGCGGUCCCGCCGCGGCGCCUUCUGCGUAGUAGAUUUACAACUCGCAUUGGGUCCCGGCGAAGGCCAGCCGUCAAACCCUCUAUUCUUAUGGUUUGACCUCGGAUCAGGUAGGGUUACCCGCUGAACUUAAGCAUAUCAAUAAGCGGAGGAA
Molecule: unclassified non-coding RNA, 601 nt
Filed under: Lomentospora prolificans
Lineage: Eukaryota; Fungi; Ascomycota; Sordariomycetes; Microascales; Microascaceae
Description: sequence contains 18S rRNA gene, ITS1, 5.8S rRNA gene, ITS2, 28S rRNA gene
Rfam family: 5.8S ribosomal RNA (bases 203-356)
Source: RNAcentral